GACGAACGCUGGCGGCGUGCUUAACACAUGCAAGUCGAACGGAAAGGCCCUGCUUUUGUGGGGUGCUCGAGUGGCGAACGGGUGAGUCACACGUGCGUAACCUGCCCUUGACUUUGGGAUAACUUCAGGAAACUGGGGCUAAUACCGGAUAGGAUCUCCUGCUGCAUGGUGGGGGUUGGAAAGUUUCGGCGGUUGGGGAUGGACUCGCGGCUUAUCAGCUUGUUGGUGGGUUAGUGGCUUACCACGGCUUUGACGGGUAGCCGGCCUGCGGGGGUGACCGGCUAGAUUGGGACUGAGAUACUGCCCAGACUGCUACGGGAGGCAGCAGUGGGUGAUAUUGGACAAUGGGCGGAGGCCGGAUGCAGGAACGCCGCGUGCGGGAUGACGGCGUUCGGGUUUGAAGCCGCUUUCGCAUCUGACGCCGCGUGCGUGACGGUAGUGGGUACAGAAGCGCCGGCUAACUACGUG
This 468-nucleotide ribosomal RNA is filed under the name uncultured bacterium. RNAcentral describes it as "partial 16S ribosomal RNA". It matches the Rfam family "Bacterial small subunit ribosomal RNA", at positions 28 to 507 of the family's 1533-position model. The record is from RNAcentral.